Molecule: ribosomal RNA, 494 nt
Filed under: uncultured bacterium
Lineage: Bacteria
Description: partial 16S ribosomal RNA
Rfam family: Bacterial small subunit ribosomal RNA
Source: RNAcentral
GACGAACGCUGGCGGCGUGCUUAACACAUGCAAGUCGAACGGUGAAGCGCCUUCCUUUUUGGUGGGUGUGGAUGAGUGGCGAACGGGUGAGUAACACGUGAGUAACCUGCCCCCUUCUUCUGGAUAACCGCAUGAAAGUGUGGCUAAUACGGGAUAUUCUGUGUCUGUCGCAUGAUGGGUCUGGGAAAGAUAUUGUUUCGGUGGGGGAUGGGCUCGCGGCCUAUCAGCUUGUUGGUGGGGUGAUGGCCUACCAAGGCGGUGACGGGUAGCCGGCCUGAGAGGGUUGCCUGUCAGACUGGUACUGAAACGCGGCCCGGACUCCUGCGGGAGGCAGCAGUGGGUAGUAUUGCACAAUGGGCGCAAGCCUGGUGCAGCGACGCCGCGUGAGGGAUGGAGUCCUUCGGGUUGUGAACCUCUUUCGCCAGUGAAGCAGGCCUGCCUCGUUUGUGGGUGGGUUGACGGUAGCUGGAUAAGAAGCGCCGGCUAACUACGUG